UUCAUGGGGAUUGCGAUCUCCCCACGAGGCGACAUGCCCAAGCAUCGCAUCCGCUCUGAACCAUUACGGAUGCACCCAUG
Non-coding RNA from Microvirga lotononidis, 80 nucleotides. NCBI's taxonomy places the organism in Bacteria, Pseudomonadati, Pseudomonadota, Alphaproteobacteria, Hyphomicrobiales, Methylobacteriaceae. The record is from Rfam.